UACCUUUAUCUGGGGGAUAGCCUUUCGAAAGAGAGAUUAAUACCCCAUAAUAUAUUGAUUGGCAUCAAUUAAUAUUGAAAACUCCGGUGGAUAGAGAUGGGCACGCGCAAGAUUAGAUAGUUGGUGAGGUAACGGCUCACCAAGUCAGUGAUCUUUAGGGGUCCUGAGAGGGAGAUCCCCCACACUGGUACUGAGACACGGACCAGACUCCUACGGGAGGCAGCAGUGAGGAAUAUUGGACAAUGGGUGAAAGCCUGAUCCAGCCAUCCCGCGUGAAGGAUGACGGUCCUAUGGAUUGUAAACUUCUUUUGUAUAGGGAUAAACCUAGAUACGUGUAUCUAGCUGAAGGUACUAUACGAAUAAGCACCGGCUAACUCCGUGCCA
This 384-nucleotide ribosomal RNA is filed under the name uncultured Chryseobacterium sp. Its description in RNAcentral is "bacterial SSU rRNA". It matches the Rfam family "Bacterial small subunit ribosomal RNA", at positions 127 to 510 of the family's 1533-position model. The record is from RNAcentral. Lineage: Bacteria; Pseudomonadati; Bacteroidota; Flavobacteriia; Flavobacteriales; Weeksellaceae.